RNAcentral lists this ribosomal RNA (588 nucleotides) under uncultured bacterium. Its description in RNAcentral is "partial 16S ribosomal RNA". It matches the Rfam family "Bacterial small subunit ribosomal RNA", at positions 355 to 1376 of the family's 1533-position model. The record is from RNAcentral.
UGGGGAAUACUGGACAAUGGGCGCAAGCCUGAUCCAGCAAUGCCGCGUGUGUGAAGAAGGCCUUCGGGUUGUAAAGCACUUUUAUCAGGAGCGAAACGCUGUCGGCUAAUACCCGGCGGAACUGACGGUACCUGAGGAAUAAGCACCGGCUAACUUCGUGCCAGCAGCCGCGGUAAUACGAAGGGUGCAAGCGUUAAUCGGAAUUACUGGGCGUAAAGCGUGCGUAGGCGGUUUCUUAAGUCUGCUGUGAAAUCCCCGGGCUCAACCUGGGAAUGGCAGUGGAUACUGGGAGGCUAGAGUGUGUCAGAGGGUGGUGGAAUUCCCGGUGUAGCGGUGAAAUGCGUAGAGAUCGGGAGGAACAUCAGUGGCGAAGGCGGCCACCUGGGACAACACUGACGCUGAGGCACGAAAGCGUGGGGAGCAAACAGGAUUAGAUACCCUGGUAGUCCACGCCCUAAACGAUGCGAACUGGAUGUUGGUCUCAACUCGGAGAUCAGUGUCGAAGCUAACGCGUUAAGUUCGCCGCCUGGGGAGUACGGUCGCAAGACUGAAACUCAAAUGAAUUGACGGGGUCAUAGCUGUUUCCUG